GACGAACGCUGGCGGCGGGCUUAACACAUGCAAGUCGAACGGAAAGGCCCUGCUUGUGUGGGGUGCUCGAGUGGCGAACGGGUGAGUAACACGUGAGUAACCUGCCCUUGACUUUGGGAUAACUUCAGGAAACUGGGGCUAAUACCGGAUAGGAGCUCCUGCUGCAGGGUGGGGGUUGGAAAGUUUGGGCGGUUGGGGAUGGACGGGCGGCUUAUCAGCUUGUUGGUGGGGUAGUGGCUUACCAAGGGAUUGACGGGUCGCCGGCCUGAGAGGGUGACCGGCCACAUUGGGACUGAGAUACGGCGCAGAGUCCUACGGGAGGCAGCAGUGGGGAAUAUGGCACAAUGGGCGGAAGCCUGAUGCAGCAGCGCCGCGUGCGGGAUGACGGCCUUCGGGUUGUAAACCGCUUUCGCCUGUGACGAAGCGUGAGUGACGGUAAUGGGUAAAGAAGCACCGGCUAACUACGUG
Molecule: ribosomal RNA, 468 nt
Filed under: uncultured bacterium
Lineage: Bacteria
Description: partial 16S ribosomal RNA
Rfam family: Bacterial small subunit ribosomal RNA
Source: RNAcentral